This 578-nucleotide ribosomal RNA is filed under the name uncultured bacterium. Its description in RNAcentral is "partial 16S ribosomal RNA". It matches the Rfam family "Bacterial small subunit ribosomal RNA", at positions 355 to 926 of the family's 1533-position model. The record is from RNAcentral.
UGGGGAAUUUUGGACAAUGGGGGAAACCCUGAUCCAGCCAUCCCGCGUGUGCGAUGAAGGCCUUCGGGUUGUAAAGCACUUUUGGCAGGAAAGAAACGUCGCGGGUUAAUACCCCGCGGAACUGACGGUACCUGCAGAAUAAGCACCGGCUAACUACGUGCCAGCAGCCGCGGUAAUACGUAGGGUGCAAGCGUUAAUCGGAAUUACUGGGCGUAAAGCGUGCGCAGGCGGUUCGGAAAGAAAGAUGUGAAAUCCCAGAGCUUAACUUUGGAACUGCAUUUUUAACUACCGGGCUGGAGUGUGUCAGAGGGAGGUGGAAUUCCGCGUGUAGCAGUGAAAUGCGUAGAUAUGCGGAGGAACACCGAUGGCGAAGGCAGCCUCCUGGGAUAACACUGACGCUCAUGCACGAAAGCGUGGGGAGCAAACAGGAUUAGAUACCCUGGUAGUCCACGCCCUAAACGAUGUCAACUAGCUGUUGGGGUCUUCGGACCUUGGUAGCGCAGCUAACGCGUGAAGUUGACCGCCUGGGGAGUACGGUCGCAAGAUUAAAACUUAAAUGAAUUGACGGGGUCAUACUG